RNAcentral lists this ribosomal RNA (253 nucleotides) under uncultured bacterium. Its description in RNAcentral is "partial 16S ribosomal RNA". It matches the Rfam family "Bacterial small subunit ribosomal RNA", at positions 524 to 776 of the family's 1533-position model. The record is from RNAcentral.
UACGUAGGUGGCAAGCGUUGUCCGGAUUUAUUGGGUUUAAAGGGUGCGUAGGCGGCUUAUUAAGUCAGUGGUGAAAUACUCUAGCUCAACUAGAGGGGUGCCAUUGAUACUGAUGAGCUUGAGUACAGAUGAGGUAGGCGGAAUUGACGGUGUAGCGGUGAAAUGCUUAGAUAUCGUCAAGAACACCUAUAGCGAAGGCAGUUCACUAUGCUUGUAUUGACACUGAGGCACGAAAGCGUGGGGAUCAAACAGG